Long non-coding RNA from Equus quagga, 847 nucleotides. RefSeq lists it as uncharacterized. The transcript is spliced from 2 exons. The record is from RefSeq and is a predicted model, not a curated record. Lineage: Eukaryota; Metazoa; Chordata; Mammalia; Perissodactyla; Equidae.
UGAACCUCAGAGACUGCUCUUCCACAUUGGGUCUCUCCGGUUAUUUAUUGAGCUCCUACCAAUUACCUGGUGCUGUUCUAGACACUGGAAUGCAGAAGUGUGCAAAAGCAGAGGCGUGGAAAUCCCUGUUCUCAUGGAGCGUCCAUUUUGGUGGAGGAUCUACAUUCACUGGGCAUCUUCUAUGCGACAAGAACUGUGCCGUAUGGUAGAGAGAUAAAUGUGAACAAGAAGGAGGCUUUGGCUUGAAUUUGUGUGUGUGUGUGUGUCUACUUAUGAUUAGUUUCAGUUAUCAGCAGCCCAGGGGUAGAUUCCAAAGGAGGACACAGUGACCUAAGAUUUCACAAGUCCAUAAAACAUCUGUUUGGGUUUCAGGUAACUGAACUCCCACGUAGAUGUCCUGCCAACAAACCCAGCAGCUGUGCCAACCUCCUCUUAAAGGGCCUACGACCCAGUGCCCCCCAAAGUGUCCCCCUAAGAACCCUCCCAAGAUGCCCUGCUCCAGUCUCUUCCUGCUGUGGCCCUAGCUCCGGGGGUGCUGUGGCCUCAGCUAACAGUGGCAUCAGAGCUCCAGUUGCUGCCACUGCUUUGGGGCUGCUCCCCACCUGGGCUCUGAGCAUCAGCUGAGUGACUGAGAGGCCAAUGACCAGCACCAGCCUUGUGCUUCUUGUCCUUCAGUCCCUUUCUAUCCCUGAUGAGCUCUCACCUGAAGAACAUGCCCAUGCUGGGGCUGUGCCACAGAAGCAGCCGUUGGCACAGCAACUUUGGGGCUGGGCUCAACUUACUUCCCUGAUGUGUGGUGUGAUGGCUCUGAACAAGCUGCUUUCCUACAAUAAAUACUUUAAAAUCC